UUGUUUUCUUGGGGCUUUCUCAGGAGCACUCAGAAUUCUCUCAUGACUUCAUUCCUGGAGUGUGUUCUGACACACUGCACAGGUUUCUCUUAGUGCUUGAGAUACUCCAGAUGUUCUGAGCGUUGCUGGCCCAGCCCGGGCUUUCUCCACCGCUGGUGUCUUUGCAUCUGUCCUUCUCUCCACCUAGGCAACUUAUUACAUGAUGCUUUGCCUGGAUAACUCCCUCUCCAGGCCUCUGAUCAGAUCACACCGGCACAGGGGCAGUUUGGGCCUCCCAAGUUAACCUAGCUCUGUUAAUCUUUUACGACAAGCAUUAUACUUUAACUCCAUGUAUGUGUCUUUCCCUGGAAGAUCCGAGCACAGCUGAGUUCAUGACUUUUUUGCUCAGUCAUGUACUAUACAUUCCGCACCUAGCACUGAGGAGGGGGAGAGAGAGAGUUCUAGAAGGCCUCACACAAAGCUUUAGAAUAUCCACACAGGAAAAAAACAAGUUGGCAGAGAGGAAGGCUGGAAGCUAUUCCCUCCCUACCCACUGAGGCCACCUAAUGCCAGCCAGGCCCAGAGAUAACCCCAGCGUCCAAGUGUGACUGUGAAUCUUUGUGAUACUAAAACACACACCUGAGGGUGGAGACUUAAAUGGAGACACACAACGCAUGAAGUUGUAUGAAGAACUACGUGUAACAAAGCAUGUGAAGAAAAGUCUGCGAUAUAUAAAUGAGUCCCCAAAGCCCAUGCUAAGACUAGAAAAAGAAGUCGGAAAGAGGACAACGGUGUGGGGACACACGUAUGGUCAGCAAGCCUGUCCUUUGAUGAGGGAAUUGCCUGGCCGAGCGGGAAUGUCCACAGAUUAGAACUCUGUGGUUCACUGACUGACCUCCAUGGGCUCUGCAGGCCCUGGUGCUUGUUUGAGCUUACACACAGUACCCGGAGAGAGGAUGCAGAAGUACCCCAGCAGCCCUGGUGACAUCUGGAAUGUGUCGUGUCUAACGUGGCAGCCACAGCAGUGUCUACAGGAGGUUAGCCAAGCUGGCUUGACUGCAGUAGGAAUCCUCAAGUGACCUUGAAAGGCAAAGAGACACAAGAAGAGGCAGUCUAACGAAGGAGGGUCCAAGAAUAAACAACCUUUCACCUACUAAAGCGGUCACCUUGUUAUGAAAAAUACCAGACAGCCAGAAAACUGUGUUAACAUCAUAAUAAAUGCCACCGGUCCAAACCCGGCCCCAACAAACACCAUCCUAUGGCCAUGCUUCUCUAUCUUCACAUCUCAUGUCAGUAUCGUUUCAUCUGUAACUCUUCCAAUGUGUCUCUAAGACAAGCAUUUUAAAACAGACACACUUAUAAUCCCAGUAAGACUAUGACAUUAAAACUGAGUUAAUACAGGGAGAUGAACAUCCUCCCUAGAAUAUGAAGGACCUAUCUCUAGGGUCUCUCUCAUAUUCAGUUGGUGUUUGAA
Molecule: non-coding RNA, 1453 nt
Organism: Peromyscus maniculatus bairdii (prairie deer mouse)
Lineage: Eukaryota; Metazoa; Chordata; Mammalia; Rodentia; Cricetidae
Source: RefSeq, a predicted model, not a curated record